Molecule: ribosomal RNA, 490 nt
Filed under: uncultured bacterium
Lineage: Bacteria
Description: bacterial SSU rRNA
Rfam family: Bacterial small subunit ribosomal RNA
Source: RNAcentral
GAUGAACGCUAGCUACAGGCUUAACACAUGCAAGUCGAGGGGCAGCAUGACGAUAGCUUGCUAUUGUUGAUGGCGACCGGCGCACGGGUGAGUAACGCGUAUCCAACCUUCCCGUUGCUAGGGGAUAACCUUGCGAAAGUAAGACUAAUACCCUAUGAUGUUCUUCGCAGACAUCUAAAGAGAACGAAAGAUUUAUCGGCAACGGAUGGGGAUGCGUCUGAUUAGGUUGUUGGCGGGGUAACGGCCCACCAAGCCCACGAUCAGUAGGGGUUCUGAGAGGAAGGUCCCCCACAUUGGAACUGAGACACGGUCCAAACUCCUACGGGAGGCAGCAGUGAGGAAUAUUGGUCAAUGGACGGAAGUCUGAACCAGCCAAGUAGCGUGCAGGAUGACGGCCCUAUGGGUUGUAAACUGCUUUUAUGUGGGAAUAAAGUGAGGGACGUGUCCCUUUUUGUAGGUACCACAUGAAUAAGGACCGGCUAAUUCCGUG